CGGACCGGCGCACGGGUGAGUAACACGUAUGCAACCUGGCCGCCACAGGGGGAUAACCCGCGGAAACGCGGCCUAAUGCCCCGUGACGCCACCGGAGGGCAUCCUCCGGUGGCCAAAGGAGCGAUCCGGUGGCGGAUGGGCAUGCGGCGCAUUAGCUAGACGGCGGGGUGACGGCCCACCGUGGCGACGAUGCGUAGGGGUUCUGAGAGGAAGGCCCCCCACACUGGGACUGAGACACGGCCCAGACUCCUACGGGAGGCAGCAG
Molecule: ribosomal RNA, 265 nt
Filed under: uncultured bacterium
Lineage: Bacteria
Description: partial 16S ribosomal RNA
Rfam family: Bacterial small subunit ribosomal RNA
Source: RNAcentral